ACUCAAAGGAAUUGACGGGGGCCCGCACAAGCGGUGGAGCAUGUGGUUCAAUUCGACGCAACGCGAAGAACCUUACCUGGGCUCGAACGGCUAUGGACCGUCCGUGGAAACAUGGAUUUCCCUUCGGGGACUGUAGUCGAGGUGCUGCAUGGCUGUCGUCAGCUCGUGUCGUGAGAUGUUGGGUUAAGUCCCGCAACGAGCGCAACCCUUGCCCUGUGUUGCCACUCUCUUCGGAGAAGCACUCUCAGGGGACCGCCAGCGACAAGCUGGAGGAAGGUGGGGAUGACGUCAAGUCAUCAUGGCCUUUAUGUCCAGGGCUACACACGUGCUACAAUGACCGGUACAAAGCGCUGCCAACCCGCGAGGGGGAGCCAAUCGCAAAAAACCGGCCUCAGUUCGGAUUGCAGGCUGCAAUUCGCCUGCAUGAAGCUGGAAUCGCUAGUAAUGGCGCAUCAGAAUGGCGCCGUGAAUACGUUCCCGGGCCUUGUACACACCGCCCGU
Molecule: ribosomal RNA, 501 nt
Filed under: uncultured bacterium
Lineage: Bacteria
Description: bacterial SSU rRNA
Rfam family: Bacterial small subunit ribosomal RNA
Source: RNAcentral